RNAcentral lists this ribosomal RNA (587 nucleotides) under uncultured bacterium. RNAcentral describes it as "partial 16S ribosomal RNA". It matches the Rfam family "Bacterial small subunit ribosomal RNA", at positions 355 to 932 of the family's 1533-position model. The record is from RNAcentral.
UGGGGAAUUUUGGACAAUGGGCGAAAGCCUGAUCCAGCAAUGCCGCGUGUGUGAAGAAGGCCUUCGGGUUGUAAAGCACUUUUGUCCGGAAAGAAAUCCUUGGCUCUAAUACAGUCGGGGGAUGACGGUACCGGAAGAAUAAGCACCGGCUAACUACGUGCCAGCAGCCGCGGUAAUACGUAGGGUGCAAGCGUUAAUCGGAAUUACUGGGCGUAAAGCGUGCGCAGGCGGUUUGCUAAGACCGAUGUGAAAAUCCCCGGGCUCAACCUGGGAACUGCAUUGGUGACUGGCAGGCUAGAGUAUGGCAGAGGGGGGUAGAAUUCCACGUGUAGCAGUGAAAUGCGUAGAGAUGUGGAGGAAUACCGAUGGCGAAGGCAGCCCCCUGGGCCAAAUACUGACGCUCAUGCACGAAAAGCGUGGGGAGCAAAACAGGAUUAGAUACCCUGGUAGUCCACGCCCUAAAACGAUGUCAACUAGUUGUUGGGGAUUCAUUUCCUUAGUAACGUAGCUAAACGCGUGAAGUUGACCGCCUGGGGAGUACGGUCGCAAAGAUUAAAAACUUAAAGGAAUUGACGAGGUCAUAGCUG